UUACUUGCUGCCAAGGAUUACAAAUAAAAGAAUCAUCCCUUAAGGCUAUAGCAGCUAAAUCAUGAGCAGCAGUGUUACCCUCUCUACGAACAAAAGAAAAGGAAACCUUUGUAAAUUGGAUGGACAGGAAAAGAACAUCCUUGACAGUAUCCUGGAUCUCCAUGGGCAGAAAGGCUAUGCAUUUGUUCAGAGUAUUGAUUAGAACUUGUUAGUCACCCUCUAAAAUGAUUUUAUCAAGACUUUUGACAGUAGCUAAAAGGAUUGCUUCCCUACACGACAGCCCCUCCAAUGAUAAAGCAUCUGUGAUGGCCAGGUAUCUCUUGCAGGACCAUCCACAUGGUCGGCCACUAUUAUCCCUUGCUAGAGUUGCAACACAACCAAUCUCCCGAUG
This 391-nucleotide unclassified non-coding RNA is filed under the name Hevea brasiliensis (rubber tree). Lineage: Eukaryota; Viridiplantae; Streptophyta; Magnoliopsida; Malpighiales; Euphorbiaceae. The record is from RNAcentral.